UGCUGUCCGCCUCCCGGGCAGACGGCAGCGACGCGGCGGGUCGCGAUGGCGGCCGGGCUGGGGCCGUGGCUGCUGGCCUUGGCCUUGGGGCCGGCAGGAGUGUGUGCACAGUUGAGACUGGAAACGUCUGGUGGAGGUGUGCGAGCGCCUGGGGAUUCUGUGCAGUUCUCCUGCCGUGGAUAUGGCUUCAGCUUUGGAAGUUAUGCUGUACUGUGGUACCGUCAGGCACUUGGUGGCCGUCUCGAGUGGCUGUCCUACAUCGCCAGCUCGAAUAGUAGGUACAGCCCAGAUGUGGAGGGUAGAGCCACCGUUUCUCGAGAUGAUUCCCGAUCUGUGUCCUACCUGUCUCUACGUGCCCUACGCCCACACGAUUCAGCGCAAUACUUGUGUGCUGUUCUCACGGCAACAGGAAAUCCUACAGAGCUGUAACAAAAAUCCCCUUCUUGGGCACAGCCACAGCUGCAGAACUACAGGUCAGGCUGGAGUUGGAGCAGCUCUGGGCUGCUCCUGGAUAGUGAGGGGGUGUCACAGAUUAUCCUGUCUUUUCUGCAAGGUCUCCUUUUACGUCAUUACUUCUUUCAUUCUCCUGAGUCACAAAAGGAGAUGGAUGCUGUUGGAGUGGCCCUGGCUGAGCCCUGAGCAGCGGGAGUGCUGCACGCCCUGGAGAGUGAUUUUGGCAGUAACAAAACCAUCUGCAGCUCGAGAUGGGAUUCGGAAAGCAAAGGCACAGAUGGAAUUGAACUUGGCAAGAAUGCUAAAAACUAAAAGAAGGGAUUGUCCUGAUGCCAGGUCAGAAGAGGUGGGCCAAAUAUCUUCCCUACUAAGUGAGAAUGGAGAACAGGCUAGAACAUAUAUGGAGAAGGCUGAGGUACUCAAUGAGUUCUUUGCCUCAGUCUUCACUGGCAGCCAGAUUUUCUCCCAUCCCUGAACCUCAUAUCCCUGCACCUGAUCAUGCAGGUGGGAUUGGGGUAGCAAAGUGCCCCACAGAGUAAGGGCAGAGCAAGUCCAAUACCUCCUCAUGAGACUGAACGUGUACAAGUCCGGGGGGCUGGCUGACUUAUGUGCCAGUGUCCUAAGGGAGCAGGGUGAGGUAGUUGCCAAGUCACUCUCCAUCAUAUUACAAAAGUUGUGGCUGUCAGGCAAAGUCUGUUGGGAAUGGAAAAACGACAAUGACAACAGCAACAACAAAAAGGAAGCAUCACUCCCGUUUAUAAGGAAGGGUGGACUGUGAGAACUCCAGGCUGGUGAGCUUCACCUCAGUUCCAGGGGUAACCAUGGAACAGAUCCUCCUGGAAGGUAUGUUAAGGCACAUGAGGGAUGAAGAGGUGAUCCAGGACAGCCAGGGUGGCUUCCGCAAGGGAGGGACAUGCCUGAUCAACGUGGUGUUCUUCUCUGAUGGAGUGACGGCAUCAGUGGACAAAGGGAAGGCAAUUGAAGUCAUCUAUCUGGACUUCUGCAAGGCCUUUGACGUGGUCCCCCACCACAUCCUUAU
Molecule: non-coding RNA, 1492 nt
Organism: Gallus gallus (chicken)
Lineage: Eukaryota; Metazoa; Chordata; Aves; Galliformes; Phasianidae
Source: the annotation of a RefSeq genome assembly